RNAcentral lists this long non-coding RNA (663 nucleotides) under Saimiri boliviensis boliviensis (Bolivian squirrel monkey). RNAcentral describes it as "lncRNA (ENSSBOG00000036609.1)". Lineage: Eukaryota; Metazoa; Chordata; Mammalia; Primates; Cebidae. The record is from RNAcentral.
GGUUACUCAGCACUCUGACAUUUCUCCAGCAAUAAAACAGAGAUGAUCUGUUUUUAAAUUUUUUUUUGAAUUCAGGGCUCCAUAAUGGAAUCAAGAAGUCAUGGAAUCCUACGCUUGGAAGUUUGGAGGGCAUUGGUCCAACUUCCCACUGAACCCAGAGUUCCGAAGAUGGGCAGAUGAUCAGAAGGGGCGAUUUUCAGGACUUGCAGAUUCAAGGAAGAAUGAAAAAAAUGCAUGGCAUACAUCAUCAAGAAUCAAAGGUUGUGCCUGGCAGUGUAAUUGACUCUGUAAGAAAGAGAGAAGCUUCGCUAGGCUCCCAGUGCAGCUGCUGUCUGCAGACCCCCUGGACUGCCCGGGGAAGUGAGUCGGAACUCCUGCAGCAGAGGGGUGGAACAGCUACAAGAAGAUCCGAAGGUGGCCAAAAAUAACAGCACUUUCCAGAUGAGGAAACAGGGACACUUGGAAUAAGAACAUCUUUAUCUGUUGAUGCCCCUGGAACGACUUCCCUUCAGCAGACCCUUCCCUGACUUCAAGGCUCUGGAAAAUGUCAAUAUGAAAUUGAGUGAGAUGCUUCAUUGAGCCACCCCCUGUGCUGUUACCCUUAGGAAGACAAAGGUAACCCCAUAUGAUCCUUAUCCUCAAGAGCAUAGUUUGCUGGGGAAG